AAUGAACGCUGGCGGCGCGCCUAAUACAUGCAAGUCGAGCGAGAAGACGUAGCAAUACGUUUGUAAAGCGGCGAACGGGUGAGGAAUACAUGGGUAACCUACCCUCGAGUGGGGAAUAACUAGCCGAAAGGUUAGCUAAUACCGCGUACGCUCCUUGGACUUCGGUUCAGGGAGGAAAGCGAUACCGUGGGUAUCGCGCUCUUGGUUGGGCUCAUGUCCUAUCAGCUUGUUGGUGAGGAACGGCUCACCAAGGCUUCGACGGGUAGCUGGUCUGAGAGGACGAUCAGCCACACUGGCACUGCGACACGGGCCAGACUCCUACGGGAGGCAGCAGUAAGGAAUAUUGCGCAAUGGGCGAAAGCCUGACGCAGCGACGCCGCGUGUGGGAUGACGGCCU
This 397-nucleotide ribosomal RNA is filed under the name uncultured bacterium. RNAcentral's name for it is "bacterial SSU rRNA". It matches the Rfam family "Bacterial small subunit ribosomal RNA", at positions 29 to 417 of the family's 1533-position model. The record is from RNAcentral.